GAUGAACGCUGACAGAAUGCUUAACACAUGCAAGUCAACUUGAACUUCGGUUUGGGUGGCGGACGGGUGAGUAACGCGUACAGAACUUGCCUCACAGAUAGGGACAACAUUUGGAAACGAAUGCUAAUACCUGAUAUUAUGAUUAUAUGGCAUCGUAUAAUUAUGAAAGCUAUAUGCGCUGUGAGAGAGCUUUGCGUCCCAUUAGCUAGUUGGAGAGGUAACGGCUCACCAAGGCGAUGAUGGGUAGCCGGCCUGAGAGGGUGAUCGGCCACAAGGGGACUGAGACACGGCCCGUACUCCUACGGGAGGCAGCAGUGGGGAAUAUUGGACAAUGGACCAAGAGUCUGAUCCAGCAAUUCUGUGUGAACGAUGAAGUUUUUCGGAAUGUAAAGUGCUUUCAGUUGGGAAGAAAAAAAUGACGGUACCAACAGAAGAAGUGACGGCUAAAUACGUG
Molecule: ribosomal RNA, 454 nt
Filed under: uncultured bacterium
Lineage: Bacteria
Description: partial 16S ribosomal RNA
Rfam family: Bacterial small subunit ribosomal RNA
Source: RNAcentral